RNAcentral lists this non-coding RNA (24 nucleotides) under Arabidopsis thaliana (thale cress). Lineage: Eukaryota; Viridiplantae; Streptophyta; Magnoliopsida; Brassicales; Brassicaceae. The record is from RNAcentral.
ACAUCGGUCAACGCUAGUCAAUAC